GCAUACCUUGUCCUUUAGAAGAAUCCCCACCAAAAACUCCGCCCAAAAAUCCUUCAAAAUUUUUAUUUUCGUUUUCCAUAAAAUAAAGAUAAAAUCAACCGAAAUCCAAUACCUUCCACCUCAAGCUUUCACGUCAGGUUCACCACUUUUGUCGUAUUACGUGCUUUCCUGCUCGAGAACGCAUCGGGCGUCUAGCUGUAGAAGGUAGUAUGGAGAUUCGCCAAUAUUCAAGCAGUUUAUCGAUUUUUGACUGUUGGAAUACAAACAACUGCAAGA
RNAcentral lists this long non-coding RNA (276 nucleotides) under Physcomitrium patens. RNAcentral describes it as "long non-coding RNA (PPAT_LNC015010)". The record is from RNAcentral. Lineage: Eukaryota; Viridiplantae; Streptophyta; Bryopsida; Funariales; Funariaceae.